Molecule: ribosomal RNA, 394 nt
Filed under: uncultured Anaeromyxobacter sp.
Lineage: Bacteria; Pseudomonadati; Myxococcota; Myxococcia; Myxococcales; Anaeromyxobacteraceae
Description: bacterial SSU rRNA
Rfam family: Bacterial small subunit ribosomal RNA
Source: RNAcentral
CGAGAAAGCCCGCAAGGGUGAGUACAGCGGCGCACGGGUGCGUAACACGUGGGUAAUCUGCCCUGGAGCCCGGAAUAACUCCCCGAAAGGGGUGCUAAUGCCGGAUGAGCCCACGGGGUCCUCGGACCCUGAGGGAAAAGGUGGCCUCUGCAUGCAAGCUAUCACUUCAGGAUGAGCCCGCGGCCCAUCAGCUAGUUGGCGGGGUAAUGGCCCACCAAGGCUACGACGGGUAGCUGGUCUGAGAGGACGAUCAGCCACACUGGAACUGAGACACGGUCCAGACUCCUACGGGAGGCAGCAGUGGGGAAUCUUGCGCAAUGGGCGAAAGCCUGACGCAGCAACGCCGCGUGUGUGAUGAAGGUCUUCGGAUCGUAAAGCACUGUCGCGAGGGACG